GAAAUCAAAAUAGUAAAAGACCGUUUUACCCGCAAUACAUUUCACCAAAACUUCCACAAAAAAUGGAUUCUUUGUUCCUCUUCUUCUCCUAGUUUGUGUAGCUGUAGUUUCUUUCUAGGGUUUAUUCCAUGUCAGGACCAAUCAAACACCAUGCCUAACAAUGACAUCUCGGUGAGUUAGUGAGUUAUAACCGAGUCAAAGCCAAUCAACUCAUCCCCAAUUUUCAUUUCAACAUAUUGUCAUGCAAUCGAACAAAUCAUCAUCUUCUCCAUCAUCCAAGUCCAGGUCUCGCAAGAAACACAAAAGACUCGAUGCUAUUUGUGAGAGGGUUUAUAAUCAAAAUCAUAAUCGUAAUGGUGAGUCUGAGUCAGCCGCAGCAGCCUCUUUGGAGCUACGUCGUAGCUCACGAGCACGGCGAGCUCCGGUUGUGUUAGAUGUAUCGCCUCCGCCUGCGAAAAAGCGGAAGAAAAAGGCGAACAGUGUUGUUAAUUUGAGCGGCGGUGGUGUUGGUAGAUAUAGUAAUAGUUAUAGAAGUAGUGGUGGUAGUUUAAAGAGUGCUGGUAAGAAUGAGGAUGAUGAUGUUGAGGGAAGUGAUAAAUUAGGGUUUCUGAAUGAUGCAUCAUCGGAAGGAUGGACUUGGAGAUCGAGAUUGAGACUGAGAUCAAGGAAUAGAGAUAUGAAUAGGAAUGUGAACGUAGAGAGAGGUGAAAGUAGUACGCAUCGGAAACGGAAGCUUCUUUAUGAUGAUGAUAAAGAAGUAGACGUGGUGGGAAGUGAGGAGGAGGAGGAGGAGGAGGAAGAAGGAGAAGUAGAGGAGGAGGAGGAAGAGGAAGAGGAAGAGGAAGGGGAAGCAGAGGAGGAGGAGGAGUUUGAUGAUGAUGACAAGUUGGUGGUUGUGAAAUUGAAGAGGCUGGGGAAGUUGAAAUCGUUAAAUGGUAUAGGGAAUGAAAUGAGUAAUGAUGAAGUUCGUGUGAGGGAAAAGGAUGAGAUUGAGCUGGUGGAGGAUAAGGUAGAGCAGGGUGGAAUGUUGGAUUUGGGUGGUGAAAAGGACGAGGAAAAUGACGUGGAGGUUCUGCAGAAUAAGAUUGAUGAUAGUGUGCCGGUUUUAGUUGAUUGCGAAAAUGGUGAGGAAGUCGUUGAUGUUGAUGUUGAGAAAGAGGACAAAGAGAGAUUGGAUGGUUUCGAAGUGGAGAAGAAUGGUGAUGAAUAUGACAAUGUUGAAAAAGUGGAGCAGAGUGAUAGAGAAUUGGAUGAGGUGGAGAGUAUGAUGGAUGUGGAUAAGAAAGCAGACAUUGUUGAAGUUGAUGAAACUUGGAUGAAUGAGGUGCAUGAUCCUAAUAAGGAAGUAGAUGAUGUUCAAGUCGAUGAUACUUUGAUGAAUGAAGUAAAGGAUCUUGAUAAGUCAGGCGGUGAUGUUGAAGUUGGUGAGACUCGGAUGAAUGUGGUGGAUGGACCUAACAAGGAAGGAGAUGUUGAAAUUGAUGAAACUCUGAUGAAGGAGGCGGAUGAUCCUCAUAAGGAAAGGAGAGUUGGGGCAAAGGGAAGUCCCAAGGAAGUUGGCAAAGAUGCGAAGACAGACAAGUUAAAGCAUGAUCCCCUUACACUUGGUAGGCCGCGAGUUAAACAGGGGCGAUGGUGUGGUUUGUGUGGGUGUGCUAAUGAUGGUAAGCCACCAAAAAGGUUGAUGCAAGAUGCUAAUGACAGUGAUAUUGGGGCAUAUAGUGGUUCAUCAGCUUCAGAGGAGCCAAACUAUGACUUAUGGGAUGGGUUUGGUGAUGAACCUGGAUGGCUUGGCCGCUUAUUGGGUCCUAUAAAUGACCGUCAUGGUAUUGCCGGAAUCUGGGUUCAUCAACACUGUGCUGUAUGGAGUCCAGAGGUUUAUUUUGCUGGUUUGGGUUGCUUAAAAAAUGUAAGGGCUGCACUUUGUAGGGGAAGAGUAUUAAAAUGCACGCGAUGUGGAAGACCAGGUGCAACUAUCGGAUGUCGUGUCGACCGAUGUCCAAAAACUUACCAUUUGCCUUGUGCCCGAGCUAAUGGUUGCAUUUUUGACCAUCGAAAAUUUCUUAUAGCAUGCACGGAUCAUCGACACCUGUUCCAACCUUAUGGUAAUCAAUAUUUAAUGCGGAUAAAGAAAUUGAAAGCCAGGAAAUUGAGACAUGAAGUAAGAAAGCGAUCAAAUGAUACUUUGAGAAAGGAUAUUGAAGCCGAAGAAAAAUGGUUGGAGAAUUGUGGGGAGGAUGAAGAGUUUCUGAAACGUGAGAGCAAGAGGCUUCACCGUGAUUUGCUGAGAAUUGCACCUGUGUAUAUUGGAGGCUCUGAUUCUGAGAAUGUAAAACUAUUUGAGGGAUGGGAAUCUGUUGCUGGGCUUAAGGAUGUAAUACAGUGUAUGAAGGAAGUAGUUAUUUUACCGCUUUUAUAUCCUGAGUUCUUCAGUAACCUAGGGAUUACCCCUCCUAGAGGUAUUCUUCUGCAUGGCUAUCCUGGAACAGGUAAAACUCUUGUGGUUCGAGCCUUGAUUGGUUCAUGUGCUCGUGGUGAUAAGCGGAUUGCGUAUUUUGCUCGUAAAGGUGCAGACUGCUUGGGGAAAUAUGUUGGUGAUUCAGAGCGGCAGCUAAGACUCUUGUUUCAAGUUGCAGAGAAAUGCCAGCCUUCUAUAAUAUUUUUUGACGAAAUAGACGGCUUAGCACCUUGUCGCUCAAGGCGCCAAGAUCAGACUCACAGCUCUGUUGUCUCCACAUUGCUUGCUUUGAUGGAUGGCUUAAAAUCUCGAGGUUCAGUGGUGGUGAUUGGAGCAACAAAUCGGCCUGAGGCUGUUGAUCCAGCAUUGCGUAGGCCUGGGAGAUUCGAUAGGGAAAUUUACUUUCCACUGCCAUCAGUUGAGGACAGGGCAGCCAUACUUUCACUUCAUACGCGGAGGUGGCCGAAACCAGUAACUGGAUCUUUACUGCAGUGGGUUGCAAGUAGAACUGUUGGUUUUGCCGGUGCUGAUCUACAGGCUCUUUGCACACAGGCUGUCAUUAUUGCUCUGAAGAGGAAUUUCCCUUUGCAUGACAUGUUAUCUGCUGCUGGAGGGAAAGCUCCUGGUGCUAGACGUGUUCCUCUUCCAUCUAUUACAGUGGAAGAGAGAGAUUGGUUAGAAGCUUUAGCUUGUGCUCCACCUCCCUGCUCUCGUAGAGAAGCAGGAAUUGCUGCUCAUGAUUUGGUAGCCUCUCCUCUUCCUUUUCACCUUAUUCCAUGUUUGCUCUAUCCAUUAUCCAAGCUGCUUGUUUCCCUCUGUCUUGAUGAACGUCUCUGGCUUCCUCCUCCUCUUUCUAAAGCUGCCGUGAUGGUUAAAAGUGUGAUUAUUUCCAAUUUAGAGAAGAAGAAUCUCCCUAACAAUCAAUGGUGGUUCCAUGCUGAUAAUCUUCUUGAAGAAGCCGAAGUUGCUGAGGAAAUUCAGAAAAGGCUUUCUGGUUUAUUAAUUGAAGAGGAUAGCUAUGCUUGUUCUUAUGGCUCUGCUGAUGAAAAGAAUGAUUAUGGUAUGAAGUUUGAGCCUUCUGUGCAUGAUAGGGGAAUGAAUACCAGCCUGUCCAGAAGUAUAUCUCUUGCAUCAAAAAAGAAAUCAGGAUACCGAUUAUUGGUUGCUGGGGAUGCGAGAUCUGGACAGAGGCAUGUCGCUUCUUGCGUGCUUCAAUGUUUUCUUGGGAAUGUUGAAGUUCAGAAGGUUGAUCUUGCUACAAUUUCGCAAGAAGGGCAUGGCGAUAUAGUCCAAGGGAUUACAGGCUUAUUAAUGAAAUUUGGUAGCUUACAAUCAUUGGUGAUAUUCAUGCCAAGAAUUGAUUUGUGGGCUAUGGAGGCUUCUCAUCAAGUUACUGAGGAGAGGAAUACAUCUUCAAUUGACCAACCUUCUGAGGCAACAGAAUGUAGUUCGACACCUAUUCAAGAUAUUGGAAAGGAAAAUGUGUCUGAGAAGAAAGAAUCUUGUUCCACAUCUAUUGAUGGCAUUGAAAAGAAUGACGAGUCCUUUGAAGAUCAAUGCGACGAAUCUGAAAUGCAAUUGCCUCAAAGUGCCAUCCUAACUGCUUCACAUGCCUGGUGCUCAUUUGUGGAGCAGGUGGAAUAUAUAUCUGUAUCAACAUCCUUGAUCAUUCUGGCUACGUCAGAACUUCCAUUCCUGGAACUCCCACAAGAAAUAAAGCAAUUCUUUGCAAGUCCCAUCUCAAAUAGCAGUAAGUUGACUACUGUGGAGUAUGCAAUACCUCGAUUCUUGGUGCAUAUUAGAAAGGAUUUUAACCGUGAUAUGGUCAUCAGUCUUGCUGCUGCUAAGUUAUUGAGGGAUAUAAUACAGCUCCGUGUUUUAUUACUUCAUCAAAAAGCACAUAUCCGUACUUCAUCUGUUGACUACAAAUUUUGGGAUUCUAAUCAAGCAUGUUGCGACACAGGAUGCCAUAAUAAGAAUAAUGGCUCUGAAGAAGUCUCUCAUGAUCAUUCAAAAGUUGCACCACCACCAAGUAAUAGAAGUUUAAAAGGAAAAUCAAACUUGCUAUUAGCGAUAUCCACAUUCGGCAAUCAGAUUCUUAGAUUUCCUCAUUUUGCUGAACUGUGUUGGGUCACAUCAAAACUGAAAAAAGGACCUUGUGUCGAUGUGAGUGGACCUUGGAAGGGCUGGCCUUUCAAUUCAUGCAUUAUUCGACCGGGUACUCUGGAUACAAUACCAGCUACUUGUAGUGCGGGAAAUAUUAAAAGCAAAGACAGGUAUGGCUUAGUCAGAGGUUUAGUUGCUGUGGGUUUGUCAGCAUACAGAGGUGUAUACAAGUCGCUUAGAGAGGUCUCCUUUGAGGUAAGGCAAGUUCUUGAGCUUCUUGUUGAACAAGUGAAUGAAAAGAUUCGGGCUGGGAAAGAUCGACAUCAGUACAUUCGUCUCUUAUCACAAGUUGCUUAUCUGGAAGACAUGGUUAAUAGCUGGGCACAUGCAUUGCAGAGUUUAGAAGUCGACAAGCUAAUCAAAGUGACAAAUGCUAUUCACAUUUCCCCCGAGUUUCAAAGCAAUCAUGCUUCUCUAGAUGAUUUAAUCCAAAAUGAGCAAUGCAAAGGAAUUGCAUCAAAUAAAAGUGCCAAUGGAUCUGAAUGUUUGCAAAGCUGUUCUGUGAAAUUUGUUCCUCAACAUGUCGAAUUGAAUGAAGUUGAAAAUAUUAUUGACCAUUCCAGUUGUGAUGAUAGAAAUGUUCUUUCAGAAGAAUUUUCUGCACAGCAGAUUGUCCAUUGCGACCAUACCAACUCAGAUAAAAAUAUUCAAAACUCAACAUGUGAUAACCAGUUGAUUGAUAGUAAUGCAGAUGAACAGAAUGGAACUACUCUCGGACAAUGUGAGCUGGAAAAUCCAAAUACUGUUUCAGUUGGCGCUGGACUGGACAAUGGAUUCUUGAAACAUUCUAAUGAAUUUGCUGCAGUCACAGAAGUUAUCCAUUAUGAAAAUGGUUUCUCUGGCUCAACUAAACAAUGUACCAACAAGUCAUCUGGCCUCAUGGAAUCCUGCGAACAGAUCGAGGGAGUGGCUGCAAUGGACAAGGAAGCUAAAUGCAUGGAUAAUCAACCCAAUUGUGAUGAGCUUCUAGGAGAUGCACACUGUUCUUCGGUCAAAGAUACCAGUCAUUGUGCUGAUUCCGGGGUUGUGUGUUCUUACAUCUGUUGCUCUGGAUGCCUUUCCAUUCUUCAAAGAAUUAUUCAGAAAAUCCUUGUUCAUAAGUGGGAAUUAAACAAUAGCUAUUGGACAGCAGAUGAUGUUCAUGAUGUUGUUUCAUCAUUGUCUAUGGAUCUUCUAUCAGCAGUCAGAAAAGUUGACGUUGGAGGUAAUUCAUAUAAUGAAAAUCUGAGAUACGGGAAUCCUGAACUUUUUUCUGAAUUUACAGAGUUGCAAAGUUGUCACUGCCAAAGCUCAGAUUCGGCAACAGAGUGUAGUUGCCACUCUUUGGAAAGGUGUGCAACUACAAAAGCAAGUGGCUCCCUAGAUAUGCAGUCGGGUAUGGAACUGGAAUAUAAUUUCAGAGAUGGCAUCUUGAUUCCUGUAGAUUCUAACAAAAAUGUUUCUUUCCAUUGUAAAUACGAGACUUUUUGCCUUUGUUCUACUAUAAAGUCAGUAGUAAUGAUGAUGCAGCCUUCUGAUUGAUAUAAUAUCUUCGCAGCAUGGAUUGCCUAGCUCUUUUGCAGAAUUAGGUGUAAAUGAUCAUAUUCAAAAGGGAAGCCGAGGACCCUUCUGCCAUAACUGAGGUUAGUAACUUGUCAACUUCUUUUAUAAUCUCACUGCACUUUUUACAUGUUUCUCCAUUAAAUAAGUUGAUUUAUAAUUGUUGCUUUCUGAUCAAGACCUUUGUCUCUACCCGGACCCGAUGAAAAAUAUGAGAUCUUUUAUUGCUUCUC
Molecule: RNA transcript, 6396 nt
Organism: Mercurialis annua (annual mercury)
Lineage: Eukaryota; Viridiplantae; Streptophyta; Magnoliopsida; Malpighiales; Euphorbiaceae
Exons: 7
Source: RefSeq, a predicted model, not a curated record